This 406-nucleotide ribosomal RNA is filed under the name uncultured bacterium. Its description in RNAcentral is "partial 16S ribosomal RNA". It matches the Rfam family "Bacterial small subunit ribosomal RNA", at positions 30 to 526 of the family's 1533-position model. The record is from RNAcentral.
AUUGAACGCUGGCGGCAGGCCUAACACAUGCAAGUCGAACGAGUGGCGGACGGGUGAGUAAUGUCUGGGAAACUGCCUGAUGGAGGGGGAUAACUACUGGAAACGGUAGCUAAUACCGCAUACCAUCGGAUGUGCCCAUAUGGGAUUAGCUAGUAGGUGGGGUAAUGGCUCACCUAGGGGCCGAUCCCGAGCUGGUCUGAGAGGAUGACCAGCCACACUGUAACGGAGACACGGUCAAGACUCCUACGGGAGGCAGCAGUGGGGAAUAUUGCACAAUGGGCGCAAGCCUGAUGCAGCCAUGCCGCGUGUAUGAAGAAGGCCUUCGGGUUGUAAAGUACUGUCAGCGGGGAGGCGUUACCCGCAGAAGAAGCACCGGCUAACUCCGUGCCAGCAGCCGCGGUAAUUC